Molecule: long non-coding RNA, 815 nt
Organism: Zootoca vivipara (common lizard)
Lineage: Eukaryota; Metazoa; Chordata; Lepidosauria; Squamata; Lacertidae
Source: RefSeq, a predicted model, not a curated record
CCCAUAUUAUUAUUAUUAUUAUUAUUAUUAUUAUUAUUAUUAUUAUUAUUAUUAUUUCCUCCUCUUCUUCCUGCUGAUUCUGAUUCUGGAAGCCUGCCUGCCUGCAGUUGAUCCUGCUAAAGCCAUCCAUAGGAACAGCUUAUAACAGGAAAUGGAUAAAAGCUCCCCAUCCAAACAAUGACUAUCAUCAAUGCACGAGGAGAGGAGAGAAUGCUCUUAUGCUUGGGUCCUGCUUGUGGGUUUCUGACAGGCACCUGUGAGAACAGGAUACUAAACUAGAUUGACCUGAUCCAGUGUUCUGCAUGUUUAAAACUUCAAAUCUCACAGGCAACAUCUCGGAACAGUGGUUGAAAAACACUGACCUAAAGGACCACAAUCUUCUGCUGCAUCCUGCCCAUACCUUAAUAUCUGCCUUGAAGUCCUGCUAUGGUGCCUUCCUAGAAUGAAAGUUAGACUGACAAGCCUUGGAUGAGGACAUUUUCGACGGUGGCCUCACAACUGUAGAAUGCAUUUCCACGGGACAUCAGACAAGCCCCAUCCCUUGCAGGUUUGGAAAGAGCCUCAAAGAGCCUCUUUACUGCAACGUGUAGCAAGUAAUCUGAUCAGAGCUGUAGAAUUUGCAUUCCCCCUUGAUUUUGGUAGCAAGUUCAGAGCUGAAUGGGCACGUCAGUGGGAGCACUGGGUUGGCUCUGGUGUUGCAUCUGAGCAGCUGUGAUCUUGCCACUGCUGUACUCUGCCCCCACCUUGGUAAACAGCAGCAAUGCCUCAAUCAGGAGAGUGGGCUUGUGUCACUACCCCACUGCACCAGCCACUUC